AGCCACCUUCACUUCUGUGUGAGAGGGAGAGUGCCUGUAGGCCUGGAAAAUUGAAGGUUUGAAAACUAAUUUUGUUUGACUCUUUAAUCCAUUUCAAACAUAGGCUCCAAAAUGGAAGAUUAAAGGAUUUCACUUUUGCUGCUGAGGACAUUCAGCUUAGAAAGGUGAAAGAUAACAGAAGUAGGAUGACUUCGGGAUAGAACAAUAGGAGGUUGAGCAGGAGGAACUUGCCUUUACCAGACCCAAGGAACUACAGAAGUGACUUGCUGUCCAUAGAAGUUUGUAAGUGAGUAAGGAGCUGCUAUGGAGAUGAUUCUAGAAAGCCCCUACCUUCCACAAGAACAUAUCAGGUUAAGAAAGAUCCACACUACAGCAUCCAAAGAUACGACUUACUUGAGAUGAUGAUCUUUGAGCAGAGACCAUCCUAUGCCAAGUCCUUCCCGUGCAGGUCACUGUCCCCAACUACACCUAUGCAGGUACGUCUCCUAUUCAGACAUUAGUGGAAACUCUUGAAUCAAUGGAUACAUGUCAGAUAAAUGGAUAAAUAAAU
This 550-nucleotide long non-coding RNA is filed under the name Sus scrofa (pig). RNAcentral describes it as "lncRNA (ENSSSCG00015026872.1)". The record is from RNAcentral. Lineage: Eukaryota; Metazoa; Chordata; Mammalia; Artiodactyla; Suidae.